Molecule: small RNA, 747 nt
Filed under: Drosophila virilis
Lineage: Eukaryota; Metazoa; Arthropoda; Insecta; Diptera; Drosophilidae
Description: GJ26117
Source: RNAcentral
CAUUAAGAGCUAUACAAAAUUAUGCUUGUUUAUUAUUAUGUUACACCAAAUGAUUUUGAUUCCAAUCUCGCAUGCAGCUAAGAACCUUAUUAUUUAAGUAACGUGUAUUUCUUAUGGUUUGGAGCACGUGGUGUAUCCUAGUCUGUGAAAUAUAUUAUACAUGUAUAAUUUUGACAACAGCAGCUGUAAGUGCAUAAAAUGUUUUUCAACUUGUUCACAUAUCCGGAUAUAGUUCGACCAAGUUUAAAGAUGUGCUCUAAAUAAACUUCGGAACCAGCAGUCAUAAAUUUGUAUUUCGAUUCUUGCUGAGAAUAUUAAAAUUAUGUAAUAUUAGAAGAGUUCGCACAUGAAUAUUUGUAAUUGAAAUUCCGUUCGAUUUUUGCGCGUAUAUGCUUUGGUCACACCGAACUGUAACAGUGUGACCGCUCAUGAAACUUAUCGUGUGCUACGUUGGGCCACACUGUUCACUCAGUGCUGUCAGUUGUUAGAGAGCCGAGCGACUGUGAAGACGUACGUGUGUGCUCAUACAGUGCUCUCAGAAUUUAUUUUUGGCAGUUUUUUUCCCCUACUGGCAGAGCAGCAAGCAAAAUAAAAUAUAAAAAAAAAAACCAAAAAAAAAAACCAAAUGCAAUUACACAUUGCCGCGCGCACACUGCAGCAGCCACACAAACAACAAUGAAAUGCUUGUUUUGUUGUUAAAUGCAACAUUAAAUGUAUGAAACGCAAUGAAUUAAAAACGAAAACCUA